CAUUCACAUGUUGGCCAGAUUUAUCCUGAAGUCCCUGCAGGUUAUUGGGGAGCAGUUCACACACAAGAAAAAUAAAAUAAAAUAAAAGCAGAAGACAUGCUUCACAGUUCUCACUCAGACCUUCUGGGUUGCAAAACAACUUGAACAUAAGUGCAUUUAUAAAUGAAUGAAUAAAAUAAAUAUAAUACUGUUUCUUCCAGAAGUUUUUGCAAUUUUCUGCCAUGAAACAAGCCACUUAUAGGACUUUUUAGAUAGUUUUUUUUAAGUCAGCAAAUUUUCCAAGCUGUUUCAAAAUAAAUAUUCAGAGACUUCUCGGUCCCUCCUCCCCCACCCCCAUAUCAAAGCCCUAUGGCAAGCAGAUCCCUAUAUAUCCGGGUGGGGGUGGGGAAGGUAACCACAAAAAGGAGUUCACACUCUACCUGGCAGCAGGGGGUCUUCUGCUGCAGAGAACAGUGGAGGCCUCUCUGGCUGCCUCCUCCUUCCUGGCUGGCUUGGGCCCUACUGGAGUUCAGGCUUCACAGAGGCCUACACCAGACCUCCCCGCCCACCCGCCGAUCAGCUGAGAGGUGGGAGAAAAGGAAUUCUUUGCAGCUUGUCUGCUGCCUCCAUUGCCGGCCAGGAGAACAAGCUGGAGAGACGGCGAACAGGGCAAGUGGCUGAGGGGCCUUGGGGCUGGGCAGGGGGCAAUGGGGAGUCACGUGAGGUGCCUCUGGGGGGCCCCUCCAGGCAGUGGGGCCCCCAGACAACUGUCUCCCCUUGCCCGAUCGUUGUUACGCACCUGGACCACACCACCAAGGACAGACCAAAGAUUUCUGGAGGCCCCUAAAGGGUGUGGAGUGGAUGGAGUGGAGGCCCUGAACUUCAGCCCUGGGGUCCUGGAAUGCUCUCCCAGUGAAUGUCUGCUCCUUGAUAUCUGUGGAUCCUUUUAAAAGACAACUGGAGACUUUAUUUGUUCCGGCUUCUACCUCUUAGGCACUGCCAGUGCCAGGUCUCUCAGCUUUCCUGCUUCUGUUUGUCUUUUUUAUGGUUGCUGUUUUUUGUCUUUGUGUUAGGGUUUUUACUGUUUAACUGGGUUAACUGUAAGGUUUCAAAUGUGAUUUUAAUGGUGUUUUACUGUAUUAAGUUUUGUAAACCACCUUGGGAUGCCUUAUGAAAGGCGGCUGAAAUUGAACAACAAACCAACCAACACACACACUAUCUGGAGGGUGAGGUUUGCCCACCACCUCUGAGCUACAGCUACUGGUAUUGCCACCCAGAGAGAUGACCACUAUUGUGGCUGAGACAUCCAGCAGCAGCUGGACUGGUAUGUGUACAAGCAGCAGCCUUGUCACUAGGAAGCAGUAGCUGCCACCUGUUCUCGCCCUCUGUGCUCCUAGCAGCCAUUGCCACAUACUUCCCUAUGAUCAGUUGCUGCAAGCAGCAACAGCAGCUUGACCCCAGACCAGGGUCGGAUGGGCAUCUGCAUCAGCCAUGCCAGCAGAUCAUAACUCUAGUGACGAGCUCUUCUGGAAGAGACAUGACUAAUGAUGAAAAGCACCACUGGUCUUUUUCUUACUACCAGUACCAACAUUUAUUUGCGUUCUUAGAAAGCACGCAGGACUUUGCUGUUGGUGAAAGUUCUGUUUGACUCAGAGGAGAAACUGCUGUCAGGCACUUAUUAUAAAUGCAGGUUAUUUGACUAAUUCAGGGUGAUUAUUAGUUGAUGCAUAUCAACUGCUGAUACAUUUCUAGGUGAAAUGCAAAGUGCUGAUGAUCAUAUAUAAAGCCCUAAACAGCUUGGGUUUGGGGUAUUUACGAGAACAUCAUCUUUUCCAUAUGCCCCACAUAUAGAGGUCAUCUGCAAGGUCUGCCUAUAGUUACCACCAACUCAUCGAGUGGAGGCUCAGGCCUUCCCCAAGACACUGGAAUGCACUUCCUGUCAGAGCAAGAGCUUCAACGUUCCUGGCAGCUUUUAGAAAAAAACCUUAAGUUCAGCCAGGCUUUUCGUUAAUAUUUAAGUAGUUUUAAAAUGUUUGUAUUGGUUUUGUUUCUAGUGUUUUUAAUUUGAGGCUUUUUAGAAAUGUAAUUUUCUGUAAACUGCCUUGAGACAUA
Long non-coding RNA from Hemicordylus capensis (graceful crag lizard), 2091 nucleotides. RefSeq lists it as uncharacterized. The transcript is spliced from 2 exons. Lineage: Eukaryota; Metazoa; Chordata; Lepidosauria; Squamata; Cordylidae. The record is from RefSeq and is a predicted model, not a curated record.